Molecule: transfer RNA, 71 nt
Filed under: Myotis lucifugus (little brown bat)
Lineage: Eukaryota; Metazoa; Chordata; Mammalia; Chiroptera; Vespertilionidae
Rfam family: tRNA
About the family: Transfer RNA (tRNA) molecules are approximately 80 nucleotides in length. Their secondary structure includes four short double-helical elements and three loops (D, anti-codon, and T loops).
Source: Rfam by way of RNAcentral
GCCAGUGUGGCUCAGUGGUUGAGCGUCAACCUAUGAACCAGGAGGUCUGGGUUCGAUUCCUGGUAAGGGCA